Molecule: transfer RNA, 88 nt
Filed under: Candidatus Woesearchaeota archaeon
Lineage: Archaea; Nanobdellati; Candidatus Woesearchaeota
Description: tRNA-Gln
Rfam family: tRNA
About the family: Transfer RNA (tRNA) molecules are approximately 80 nucleotides in length. Their secondary structure includes four short double-helical elements and three loops (D, anti-codon, and T loops). Further hydrogen bonds mediate the characteristic L-shaped molecular structure. tRNAs have two regions of fundamental functional importance: the anti-codon, which is responsible for specific mRNA codon recognition, and the 3' end, to which the tRNAs corresponding amino acid is attached (by aminoacyl-tRNA synthetases). tRNAs cope with the degeneracy of the genetic code in two manners: having more than one tRNA (with a specific anti-codon) for a particular amino acid; and 'wobble' base-pairing, i.e. permitting non-standard base-pairing at the 3rd anti-codon position.
Source: RNAcentral
AGCCCCAUAGUGUAGCGGUCAAUUCUUAGGAGACCAAUCAUCCCGGAUUUUGGAUCCGGGGACGGCGGUUCGAAUCCGCCUGGGGCUA